Molecule: long non-coding RNA, 280 nt
Organism: Podarcis raffonei (Aeolian wall lizard)
Lineage: Eukaryota; Metazoa; Chordata; Lepidosauria; Squamata; Lacertidae
Exons: 3
Source: RefSeq, a predicted model, not a curated record
CUUCGCCACGCCUUCUCCUCCUCCUCCGGCUGGCGAUGUUUGCAGUCAGCUGGCUGCAAAAAGCGAGCCGGGGUAGAAGCGCAAAGAGAGCAAGCGUGGAAUCGGGAGCACUUUAACGCAGGAUUUAAACCCACGAAGAGACCCUGCCCACCGGACCAUCAACUUGCAUUGCACGCUCCGGAUUGGCUGGAGUGGGUGGCAGAAGGUAACCGAUCCCGUAUUGGUCGCUGAGCGUGGCUGGACUUCUCUCUGAUUGGGCCUAGGGUAGCUGUGUAGAGCA